Molecule: long non-coding RNA, 373 nt
Organism: Echinops telfairi (small Madagascar hedgehog)
Lineage: Eukaryota; Metazoa; Chordata; Mammalia; Afrosoricida; Tenrecidae
Exons: 2
Source: RefSeq, a predicted model, not a curated record
UCCGGCUCCUUAUGAAAUCUCCCGCCACCAGGGCUGAGCGUCACUGCUUGUAUUUCUCACUCGGUGUUGUGGCCGGUAACCAAGAUGCAGUUUUCUGAAAGGCGCAUGAAGCUGAGAUUGUUAGGUGACCAGAGAAGUGCCACCUACCCUCAUAGCCUCCAGUUUUACCUCGAGCCGCCAUCUGAAAACAUAUCUUUGAUAGAGUUUGAAAGCUUGGCUAUUGACCGAGUGAAAUGUGAGUGAUAUUUAACUUAGAAUUCAUAUUUUCUUGAGAAGCUCACUUAGGCUUUGUGGGAAUGAAUGAAGAUUCCUCCCCACCCCCUAUCCCCUUUCAACAAUUCAUUAAAAAACAUUAAGGUUUGCUAUUCUUGCA